RNAcentral lists this ribosomal RNA (407 nucleotides) under uncultured bacterium. RNAcentral describes it as "bacterial SSU rRNA". It matches the Rfam family "Bacterial small subunit ribosomal RNA", at positions 29 to 481 of the family's 1533-position model. The record is from RNAcentral.
AACGAACACUGGCGGCAGGCUUAACACAUGCAAGUCGAACGCGUGUAGCAAUACACGAGUGGCGCACGGGUGAGUAACGCGUGGAUAUCUGCCUUUUGGUUCGGAAUAACUCCGGGAAACUGGAGCUAAUACCGGAUGGUUCCUACGGGAUAAAGAUUUAUCGCCAAAAGAUGAGUCCGCGUACGAUUAGCUAGUUGGUGAGGUAAUGGCUCACCAAGGCGACGAUCGUUAGCUGGUCUGAGAGGACGAUCAGCCACACUGGGACUGAGACACGGCCCAGACUCCUACGGGAGGCAGCAGUGGGGAAUAUUGGACAAUGGGGGCAACCCUGAUCCAGCCAUGCCGCGUGAGUGAUGAAGGCCUUCGGUUGUAAGACUCUUUGUCGGGGACGAUGAUGACGGUACCCG